Molecule: non-coding RNA, 215 nt
Organism: Pelobates cultripes (western spadefoot toad)
Lineage: Eukaryota; Metazoa; Chordata; Amphibia; Anura; Pelobatidae
Source: the annotation of a GenBank genome assembly
GUGGGUUCCACUGUCAGAUGGGAUCAGUGGCAUAGGGGCAGGAGUUGGUUGCUUUUUUCAUGCCAGGGAAUCAUGUAUAGUGGGUCGUUGAAGUACGUUGCUUCCAACUGGACCCAAUGUUUCAUAUUUUGUGGUUGGGACCAUUCAUAUAUUCUGGACAGUGUUAUGGCUUUGUGGUAGUUUUCGAUGUCUGGCAGUCCCAAACCACCUUUCAG